GAGGAAAAGAAACCANCAGGGAUUGCCCUAGUAACGGCGAGUGAAGCGGCAACAGCUCAAAUUUGAAAUCUGGCUCUUUUAGAGUCCGAGUUGUAAUUUGCAGAGGGCGCUUUGGCUUUGGCAGCGGUCCAAGUUCCUUGGAACAGGACGUCACAGAGGGUGAGAAUCCCGUACGUGGUCGCUGGCUAUUGCCGUGUAAAGCCCCUUCGACGAGUCGAGUUGUUUGGGAAUGCAGCUCUAAAUGGGAGGUACAUUUCUUCUAAAGCUAAAUAUUGGCCAGAGACCGAUAGCGCACAAGUAGAGUGAUCGAAAGAUGAAAAGCACUUUGGAAAGAGAGUCAAACAGCACGUGAAAUUGUUGAAAGGGAAGCGCUUGCAGCCAGACUUGCUUACAGUUGCUCAUCCGGGUUUCUACCCGGUGCACUCUUCUGUAGGCAGGCCAGCAUCAGUUUGGGCGGUAGGAUAAAGGUCUCUGUCACGUACCUCCUUUCGGGGAGGCCUUAUAGGGGAGACGACAUACUACCAGCCUGGACUGAGGUCCGCGCAUCUGCUAGGAUGCUGGCGUAAUGGCUGUAAGCGGCCCGUCUUGAAACACGGACCAAGGAGUCUAACAUCUAUGCGAGUGUUUGGGUGUCAAGCCCGAGCGCGUAAUGAAAGUGAACGGAGGUGGGAACCCGCAAGGGUGCACCAUCGACCGAUCCUGAUGUCUUCGGAAGGAUUUGAGUAAGAGCAUGGCUGUUGGGACCCGAAAGAUGGUGAACUAUGCUUGAAUAGGGUGAAGCCAGAGGAAACUCUGGUGGAGGCUCGCAGCGGUUCUGACGUGCAAAUCGAUCGUCAAAUUUGGGCAUAGGGGCGAAAGACUAAUCGAACUAUCUAGUAGCUGGUUCCUGCCGAAGUUUCCCUCAGGAUAGCAGUAACGUAUUCAGUUUUAUGAGGUAAAGCGAAUGAUUAGAGGCCUGGGGGUUGAAACAACCUUCACCUAUUCUCAAACUUUAAAUAUGUAAGAAGUCCUUGUUACUUAAUUGAACGUGGACAGUUGAAUGAAACGUUAUUAGUGGGCCAUUUUUGGUAAGCAGAACUGGCGAUGCGGGAUGAACCGAACGAGGGGUUAAAGUGCCGGAAUAUACGCUCAUCAGACACCACAAAAGGUGUUGGUUCAUCUAGACAGCAGGACGGUGGCCAUGGAAGUCGGAAUCCGCUAAGGAGUGUGUAACAACUCACCUGCCGAAUGAACUAGCCCUGAAAAUGGAUGGCGCUCAAGCGUGUUACUUAUACCCCUCCGCUGGGGCAAAAUUUACGCCCCAGCGAGUAGGCAGGCGUGGAGGUCCGUG
Molecule: ribosomal RNA, 1330 nt
Filed under: Alternaria alternata
Lineage: Eukaryota; Fungi; Ascomycota; Dothideomycetes; Pleosporales; Pleosporaceae
Description: partial large subunit ribosomal RNA
Rfam family: Eukaryotic large subunit ribosomal RNA
Source: RNAcentral